This 215-nucleotide unclassified non-coding RNA is filed under the name Hevea brasiliensis (rubber tree). Lineage: Eukaryota; Viridiplantae; Streptophyta; Magnoliopsida; Malpighiales; Euphorbiaceae. The record is from RNAcentral.
CUUUUAACAAUGACCACCAUUAGACUGCAUGUCUGAAGUGUUUCCUAUCAUCGCACGAAAGCUGCAGUACAUACAACCUAAAUUUUCAUCAUUGUCCAAACUGCAUUUGUUGAGGGUAAUCAAACAGCUUCUUUAACAGAGGAAGUAGCCCAAUCAAAGCUAUUUGAAGCUGCUCUGAGCUAUUUAUGCGAAUACUGAUUUGUCCUGCCCCCCUG